Pistacia vera is the source of this 1630-nucleotide RNA transcript. It is a transcript of the gene named OVARIAN TUMOR DOMAIN-containing deubiquitinating enzyme 2-like, with no coding region annotated. NCBI's taxonomy places the organism in Eukaryota, Viridiplantae, Streptophyta, Magnoliopsida, Sapindales, Anacardiaceae. The transcript is spliced from 5 exons. The record is from RefSeq and is a predicted model, not a curated record.
AAUUGUUUGAACCCUCUAAUUAACUACAGCCGCCCUCACUUUCUACACAAAAUCCCCGAACCACCGCCGACGAGGCCAUUUCUCUCCACUUCUCCACUUCUCCACUUCGUCCGCCUCUUCUUCUCCAAUUCCUGCCUGAAAUCCUUGACUUCUCCACUCCGUUCGCCUCGUCUUCUCCAUUUGACGGCUGAAAUCUGGACUUCUCCAUCCGUUCGCCUCUUCUUCUCCAUAUAUUUCUUCUUGCUGUCAUAGUGAACUCAAGAGAGUUUUGAAGAAAAAUACUCAAUUGAGAAGAAAGGGUUUGUGAAGAGAGAGUUAGGGCAUUUCGGUCAUUGUGAAGCUGAUCUGUUUGGGAACAAUGAAUCUUCAGAUUGUGUGGAAACUAUUGAUAAAGAAUGUGGUGAAUGAUGAGUAAUGAAGGUGGCCAUUACUGUUCGAAAAAGAGUGAUGAUAUUUGCGGUGAUGUUUGUGGCCAGGUGCAUAUAUCCUUGUGAGAUGGACGGGAUUAUAGUUAGAAGGGUGAUUCCCUCAGACAACAGUUGCCUUUUUAAUGCUGUUGGAUAUGUAACGGACCAUGACAAAAAUAAAGCUCCAGAAUUGAGACAGAUUCUUAUCUGUUACAUCUUAUCUUUGCUGCUAAACAUGUGUAGUUAAAGAUCUCAAACAUAAUUCGAUUUCUAUUCAUGUGUUUGCUAUGAUUUAUGGGGGGAUCUUCAAGCUUAUGUGCUGUUUUGAGAAUUGGCUAUAGCGGCAACUGUGGCAAGUGAUCCUGUAAAAUAUUCUGAAGUUUUUCUUGGAAAGCCCAACGAAGAGUAUUCUUCCUGGAUUCAGGACUCAGAGAAGUGGGGAGGUGUGUUGAACUUCUUUUCUUUGGGCAUGUUUUGGCGGUCAUUAGACAGUUGAAAGAAGACGGGCCUAAAUCAUUACGAAUGCCAUUAAUGAUUCAUCUCAGAACUGCUAGCGUUUCUUGUUUAGCCUUAUAUAUGGGAAGCAUCUAGCUUUGCCAUAUUUCUUACAUUUGGGUAAAGAGGGUGACUUUCAUGUUUACACCAUGGAAAUGUUCUGCAUGUAUAUGUGCUUGUGUGCUUGGUUUAGUUGAUGACCUUUUGUACUUAGUUUGCAGUUCAUGUAUAUGUGCUGCAUGAGAAAGAGCUUACUGUCCUGUUGCCGAAUUUGUGUGUUAUGUGACAGUUCACAUUGAAAUUGCAGUAUAAGAGCAUAGCACAAGUAAAUGAAGAUGCACUGAAGCAGAUGGAAGUCGCUCAUGAAAACUUCAAAGACCGUCAAUGAUUGAUUAAAAUUCUGUCAAAUCUUUGACGGGUUAUAACUGUCAAGAAUCUGUUAAGAAAUUCUUGACAGUUUAAAAAGGGUCACCUUCCUCUCUUGAUAGGAGUUUCAAUGACUGAGUGAAAAACUAUAGGAAACCUCGUCAAGAAAUUGGGUUUUUCUAGUAAUAUAUAUAAAAAAAACCAUACCACUAUUUUUCAGCUUUGGGCAUGCAUAUACAUUGAUCUUUUUCAAACUUGUGAAGGGCGAGGCACUUGAAUAGAUGCUAUUCAAAUUUGAGGGAAGCUAUAAAUGAAGAAAUGAGUAUACAGUGGGUUCAGAUUUUUCAUCUCUCGAAACGUCU